GCUGGUUUACUUUUCUAUUUUUUUCAUUGUCCGGAAAACUAGUUUACAAAAUUUUAAACGAUACAAGUAAACUUGGCACUUCAUUGUCCUUUCUCUCUGGUUAAUGAUUUACCAUCCACAUAGGGAGAUUCUGGUGGAGCAGCACUCCAGAGACCCCACAAUAUCAGUAGGUGGAUACAAAGAAGCAGGAAAGAUGAAUAGUUGUUAGAGGGAUAGACGUUCCAGCAAAACUCCACGCCUAUAAACAAAAUUAAGCUGCAACAAAAGGACAAUUAACACUGAAAAUAUGAUAUGGAACAUUCAUAUGCAUAACUACUGCGAAUAAGAAUGAUCAAUUAACUAACCGUAGCAAUGUAGGAAAAGAAGUUUUCCAUAAUAGAUAUGGUAAGGUGUAGAAAUACUUGCACAGGAGAACACAAUAUAACAUUAAUUGCAAUUCUUCUCGAAAAAUAAAUUAAAAAGGUCUCUAUAGAAGAUAACAUAAGAACCCAGCACCAUUUUUUGGUGAGUAAGAGACAAAAUCAAAAUCAUAUGGUCAUAACUAAAAGAGUAUAAAUAAUUAGAUAUGGAUGAACGACAACAACAUGCUAUAUUAAAUUUCUAACUAGGAGGUAAGGCAAUUGUUGCCUCGCAAAGAUAACCUGCAGAUGGUACUCUCAUCUUAAAAUGGAAGCCUCAGGGGAGAGACGGCUGCAUGCCAUUACUUGAUAGCAUUUUACCCAACAUAACAAUUUAUUUUAUGCAGGAUCUUUGGGGCAGAAACUCUACAAAGAAAUUAGGUAGUAGUAUCUCCACUUCACUCUAAAACUUCUUCAAAAAAUAUACUAAACCAAAAUCUAAACUUUAUCAUGGAUAUAUUCUUAUACCAGCUCACCUUACAACUCGAAUAGGAUAGCCAUUUUGGCAACUGACACGUAAAGCAUUAUUCUGUUUCUCAAACU
RNAcentral lists this long non-coding RNA (941 nucleotides) under Panax ginseng (ginseng). RNAcentral's name for it is "long non-coding RNA (PGIN_LNC006395)". The record is from RNAcentral. Lineage: Eukaryota; Viridiplantae; Streptophyta; Magnoliopsida; Apiales; Araliaceae.